Molecule: ribosomal RNA, 253 nt
Filed under: uncultured bacterium
Lineage: Bacteria
Description: partial 16S ribosomal RNA
Rfam family: Bacterial small subunit ribosomal RNA
Source: RNAcentral
UACAGAGGUCCCGAGCGUUGUUCGGAUUCACUGGGCGUAAAGGGUGCGUAGGUGGUGAGGUAAGUCGGAUGUGAAAUCUCGGAGCUUAACUCCGAAAUGGCAUUGGAAACUACCUCGCUCGAGGGUUGGAGGGGGGACUGGAAUGCUUGGUGUAGCAGUGAAAUGCGUAGAUAUCAAGCGGAACACCAGUGGCGAAGGCGAGUCCCUGGACAACUCCUGACACUGAGGCACGAAAGCUAGGGGAGCAAACAGG